AAAGUUUUAAAAGUCGAACAGACUUAAUUUAUAAGCUUUUGCACUUAUAAUUUUCUUUAAUCCAACAUCGAGGUCGCAAAAUUUUCUAUUGAUAAGAACUCUCAAGAAAAAUUACG
RNAcentral lists this ribosomal RNA (116 nucleotides) under Lagria sp. CH-2014. RNAcentral describes it as "partial 16S ribosomal RNA". The record is from RNAcentral. Lineage: Eukaryota; Metazoa; Arthropoda; Insecta; Coleoptera; Tenebrionidae.